This 563-nucleotide ribosomal RNA is filed under the name fungal sp. AM2013. RNAcentral's name for it is "eukaryotic LSU rRNA". The stretch from base 193 to 345 matches the Rfam family "5.8S ribosomal RNA". The record is from RNAcentral. Lineage: Eukaryota; Fungi.
UCGGUGCUCGCACCGGUUACCCGUCCUUUUGUCAUAAGAUACUCGCCCUGCGGCCUCUGGCCGUGGAGGCGGGGGUGGUCAUUUCCGCCGAAGCGUCGCGCCCUCUUAGGUGCGUGACCGCGGCGGGCCAAUCUUUACAAACUCUGUGCAAGCAAACUGAAGUCUGAAAUUGUACACAAUUGAAAAAAGCAAAACUUUCAACAACGGAUCUCUUGGCUCUGGCAACGAUGAAGAACGCAGCGAAACGCGAAAGGUAAUGCGAAUUGCAGAAUCAGUGAGUCAUCGAAUCUUUGAACGCACAUUGCGCCUCUCGGUAUUCCGGGAGGCACGCCUGUUCGAGCGCCAUUACACACUCCAAGCUCUGCUUGAUGUUGGACGACGCGGCGCCCCUUUUGGGGUGCUGCCCGUCUGGAACGCGUGGGCGCCCGCCGCCAGACCACGAGCGUAGCAAGACGUCAGUCAAUUUCGCUGUGUGGGUUCUGACGGAGGGUCCGCCAUAACCAUUUCUAUUCACGAGUUUGGCCUCGGAUCAGGUGGGGAUACCCGCUGAACUUAAGCAUAUC